CCUACGGGAGGCAGCAGUCGAGAAUCAUUCACAAUGGGGGAAACCCUGAUGGUGCGACGCCGCGUGGGGGAAUGAAGUUCUUCGGAUUGUAAACCCCUGUCAUGUGGGAGCAAAUUAAAAAGAUAGUACCACAAGAGGAAGAGACGGCUAACUCUGUGCCAGCAGCCGCGGUAAUACAGAGGUCUCAAGCGUUGUUCGGCAUCACUGGGCGUAAAGCGUGCGUAGGCUGUUUCGUAAGUCGUGUGUGAAAGGCGCGGGCUCAACCCGCGGACGGCACAUGAUACUGCGAGACUAGAGUAAGGGAGGGGGAACCGGAAUUCUCGGUGUAGCAGUGAAAUGCGUAGAUAUCGAGAGGAACACUCGUGGCGAAGGCGGGUUCCUGGACAUUAACUGACGCUGAGGCACGAAGGCCAGGGGAGCGAAAGGGAUUAGAUACCCGUGUAGUC
Molecule: ribosomal RNA, 446 nt
Filed under: uncultured bacterium
Lineage: Bacteria
Description: partial 16S ribosomal RNA
Rfam family: Bacterial small subunit ribosomal RNA
Source: RNAcentral